Bemisia tabaci is the source of this 74-nucleotide non-coding RNA. The record is from the annotation of a RefSeq genome assembly. NCBI's taxonomy places the organism in Eukaryota, Metazoa, Arthropoda, Insecta, Hemiptera, Aleyrodidae.
GCCCCAGUGGCGCAAUCGGUUAGCGCGCGGUACUUAUAAUGCCGAGGUUGUGAGUUCGAUCCUCACCUGGGGCA